Molecule: ribosomal RNA, 500 nt
Filed under: uncultured bacterium
Lineage: Bacteria
Description: partial 16S ribosomal RNA
Rfam family: Bacterial small subunit ribosomal RNA
Source: RNAcentral
AUUGAACGCUGGCGGAAUGCUUUACACAUGCAAGUCGAACGGCAGCACGGACUUCGGUCUGGUGGCGAGUGGCGAACGGGUGAGUAAUGUAUCGGAACGUGCCCAGUCGUGGGGGAUAACGUAGUGAAAAUUACGCUAAUACCGCAUACGAUCUAUGGAUGAAAGCGGGGGAUCGCAAGACCUCGCGCGAUUGGAGCGGCCGAUAUCAGAUUAGGUAGUUGGUGGGGUAAAGGCCCACCAAGCCAACGAUCUGUAGCUGGUCUGAGAGGACGACCAGCCACACUGGAACUGAGACACGGUCCAGACUCCUACGGGAGGCAGCAGUGGGGAAUUUUGGACAAUGGGCGAAAGCCUGAUCCAGCCAUUCCGCGUGCAGGAUGAAGGCCCUCGGGUUGUAAACUGCUUUUGUACAGAACGAAAAGGUUUCUACUAAUACUAGGAGCUCAUGACGGUACUGUAAGAAUAAGCACCGGCUAACUACGUGCCAGCCGCCGCCGUAA